UCUCCGUUGGUGAACCAGCGGAGGGAUCAUUACAGGACUCGCAAGACUCCUACAACCCUGUGAACUUAACUAUAAGCACGUUGCUUCGGCAGGUGUCUCGGAGGGGGUUCUCCCUCCCCGAGACGCUAAACCCGCCGGCAGCCUACUAUACUCUGUCUCUUUGCGUUGGCAUCUCGAGUACAAUCAAACAAGUUAAAACUUUCAACAACGGAUCUCUUGGUUCUG
Molecule: unclassified non-coding RNA, 225 nt
Filed under: plant metagenome
Description: partial contains small subunit ribosomal RNA, internal transcribed spacer 1, and 5.8S ribosomal RNA
Source: RNAcentral